CAGUCGCCGCGGGAAAACGGAGGGUGCAAGCGUUAUCCGGAUUCACUGGGUUUAAAGGGUGCGUAGGCGGAUCUGUAAGCCAGUGGUGAAAUCUCCAGGCUUAACCUGGAAACUGCCGUUGAUACUAUAGGUCUUGAAUUUUGUGGAGGUUAGCGGAAUAUGUCAUGUAGCGGUGAAAUGCAUAGAUAUGACAUAGAACACCAAUUGCGAAGGCAGCUGGCUACACAACUAUUGACGCUGAGGCACGAAAGCGUGGGGAUCAAACAGGAUUAGAUACCCGCGUAGUCCCUGUCUCUUAUAC
RNAcentral lists this ribosomal RNA (301 nucleotides) under uncultured bacterium. RNAcentral describes it as "partial 16S ribosomal RNA". It matches the Rfam family "Bacterial small subunit ribosomal RNA", at positions 509 to 807 of the family's 1533-position model. The record is from RNAcentral.